RNAcentral lists this ribosomal RNA (480 nucleotides) under uncultured bacterium. RNAcentral's name for it is "partial 16S ribosomal RNA". It matches the Rfam family "Bacterial small subunit ribosomal RNA", at positions 28 to 507 of the family's 1533-position model. The record is from RNAcentral.
GACGAACGCUGGCGGCGUGCUUAACACAUGCAAGUCGAACGAUGAAGAAAAGAAUUGAAGCUUCGGCAGAAAUUCAUUUCGGAUUAGUGGCGGACGGGUGAGUAACGCGUGAGCAACCUACCUCUUACAAAGGGAUAGCCUCGGGAAACCGGGAUUAAUACCAUAUAACAUUGCGACGAAGCAUUUCGAUGCAAUCAAAGCUACGGCGGUAAGAGAUGGGCUCGCGUCCCAUUAACCAGAUGGUGAGGUAACGGCUCACCAUAGUAACGAUGGGUAACCGGCCUGAGAGGGUGAACGGUCACACUGGAACUGAGACACGGUCCAGACUCCUACGGGAGGCAGCAGUGGGGAAUAUUGCACAAUGGAGGGAACUCUGAUGCAGCGACGCCGCGUGAGUGAUGAAGGAAUUCGUUUCGUAAAACUCUGUUCUAUGGGAAGAAAAGGACUGUACCAUAGGAGAAAGCGCCGGCUAAAUACGUG